UGCAUCCUCAUGGCCUAGCACUCAUCAGCCUCCAAGGAGCACCAAGAAUCACGCAGCUGCAAAGAAUAGUAAUGCCAAACAAGUCAAUCAUCAGACAGAGAACAGAGUUCGUGACAGAUUCAGCGAUGAAGGAGAGGAAUCUGAGCUCAAGGCUAGAACAAGAACCACUGCAGCUAGUCGUGUCAAAAGUAGAGGCAAGGUGAGCAAAACCAAAUAAGACUCAUACUGGUUUUAGUUUCUAUAUCUAUUCAAUGUUUCUCUUCUGUUCAAGGGAAAAAAAAUUUAUGCAGUUCAUACAGAAUUCAGACCAUGUAGUUGUUUCUACCUUCAUUUGAGAUGUAUGUGUAAUUGCAUUGCUUUCUUUAAAACAGGAUUAUGUUUUUGUUUAAUGCAAACUCCGUUCAUGUAACUUAUCGGUGUGGUUAUCCGUUGGAGCUAUGCUAAUAAUAUCUACCUUUUACACAUAUACUCCGUUCUAACACAAACGGAAACAUGUAUUAAAAUCUGCAUCUUCAACAAAAGAGCAAUCAAUAAUUGGUAGCCACUGAAAAGCAAACGUGUUUACGAAAUACUCAUCAUUCGAACAAACUUCAGAUCCAAACGAUUGAAUUUGGGAUAAAACAAAGAGGCUGAUGACAAAACAGGAGUUUCUAAGAUUACCUGAUUGUUCCAUAGGUGUGGCCCCAAAGUAGCUAACACACCAUAGCUUUGCCUAUUAACAAAGACUCCUGCUGCUUUCAAUACCUUCACAUGAUUCUUUUUUUAAAAGAACAAAUUUCAAUCAUUCAAGAUAUGUCAUUAUCAACUCUCACAAAACUUUCAUAAAUUACUAUUUCACAACAGGAAUAGAGUUAGAGAGAAUCUUAACCUGUUUGUAAUAUUCUUCUCCACCUUUCAACACAGUAAGAACCAUGUAGCUUCUGCCUGUUCACAACAGUAAAUAGAAAUGUAUCUAUCAAAGAAAACUCUACACACAAACGAAGGGUUUUGGAAAGUCAAAGCCGGUAAUUUGUAUCAAUAAUACGGUUGUGUUCGAAAAUGACUGAAAAGUUUUAGCUUAUUGACUGAACAGAAAACAACAAAUAGUUUUAGCUGGCAGCUUGCUAGGAGAGGACCGCACUCACGUAGAUGUGAUUCUCAAGUCACUUUCCACAUUGUAAUAUCAAAUCCACCAUGCACGUGCAGAAGCAAUAAACAGGUAGAUGAUAAUGAAAUAAGGGUCGUCCAAUCUAAUUCUAUGACCCACAAAAUGUGAGAGAAUGUGACUCAGUAAAUGCACAACACAUUGGACCUGGUCUACCAAUUUCAAAUUCCAGGAAGACCAAAGAAACAAACGAGUAAAGGCGUAGAAACAAACGAGUAAAGGCAAAGAACCAAGCAGUUCUGUCAAACUAUUAGCUUGCACAUGUUCAAUUGAUAACCGAAAGUGAUAUCUAAGGGAAAGAUUAACAAGCAACACGAACCUUAAACUUUUUAUCAAAAAUUUUGUGACUUCGAGAAACUUUGUACAAUCAAUCAACGAAACUAGAAUUCCAUAAUCAUAAGAGAAGAGUUAUGAAGCCCAAUCAGUAUAUUAAAGUAAGACUGACAUAAUUACAUUAGAUUCAGGUACAAGGUUCAAGACAGAGAACUCUAAAUUCCGCUUCCUAAAACUAAAUGAAGAACCUAGAGCUAAAAUCCUAAAAACUGCAAAAAAAUUCACGAGUCUUUCGAAUCACCAAACCAUCCUGAAAAUGGCAGAGAUUAACCCCUUGUGUUUCUCCUCAUUAUUCUGGGCACUAGAAGACCAAUGGAGUUGUUCAAACUCUGGAGUUGAAGCUCUUGUUCAAGUUUGAAAUCCAGAGCUCAAGCUAGCUGAACCUGAAACCGCAAAAACAGAUUGAUAACAACACAGUAUGCCAAACUAACAAUAUCCUUAAUCAACACACCCUAACUUCCAAAACAAAUUCUCAUUCCAUAGCAUUAUACCAUAUUGAACACCGAAAACAAUACGAAAGAACUCAAAUUGAUAUACAUUUCCUCCUCACUAACACUUUUACUAAGCUUAGCAGUUGGAGGAGCCCUUAAGUUCAAGAACGUGAAGGUAGCUGCAAUGGCACCACAAUCUAACUAGCUAAAACAAGCUUAUUGUAGAAAAAGCACUAAACUAGUAGUAGUAAUAUAUGCUUGUUCAACAGCAGCAACUGUAGUCGAAAUAAUAAACAAGAGAAAGCUCUAGUGUCUGUCUACCAAUGCGCAAACUCCAGAAAAUGUCGUUGUACAACCACCGCAAGCGGGGGAAGUGCAAUGACUUACUCGAUCAACGACUCGCAACCGAUGGACCGCAGAGAGAGAGGCUGAAUCUGAAUUUGGGUAUUCAUCUCCGUCGGGUUCCCGCCGCGGGACACGGCGAAGAUCGAUGUAGGGAUUGAUCCCGGGAAAUCGGUGACUGGCCCAAGUAGUGUUAUGGGCUUAAUGUGGGCUUUCAUAAAUGAUGGGUUAUGUCUAGUAAUAGGCCCUUCUUUCAGGUAUCCACGGGUUUUCGGGUUUUACCGACCCGGAUGGGAUU
This 2548-nucleotide long non-coding RNA is filed under the name Arabidopsis lyrata. RNAcentral's name for it is "long non-coding RNA (ALYR_LNC002826)". Lineage: Eukaryota; Viridiplantae; Streptophyta; Magnoliopsida; Brassicales; Brassicaceae. The record is from RNAcentral.